CAGAAACUCCCAUUAGAUCAACUUCAUCAACAUGUUCUCUGUUGCUCUACUGCUGCUGCUGGCUGCUGUAUCCUGUGUGGAGUGUGAACAGCUGACACAGCCGGCCUCUAUGACUGUGCAGCCAGGUCAACAACUGACCAUCAGCUGUCAGGUCUCUUAUGAUUUGAGCAGCUACUACACAGCUUGGAUCAGACAGCCUGCUGGGAAAGGACUGGAGUGGAUUGGUAGAGAUACAGAAUUCAAAAAUUCAAUAAAAAACAAAUUUGGAGGUAGCUUAGACUCUUCCAGUAAAACAGUGACUCUGAAUGGACAGAAUAUGCAGCCUGAAGACUCUGCUGUGUAUUACUGUGCCAGAGAGUCGCAGUGA
This is a non-coding RNA of Xiphophorus hellerii (green swordtail), 367 nucleotides long. The record is from the annotation of a RefSeq genome assembly. Lineage: Eukaryota; Metazoa; Chordata; Actinopteri; Cyprinodontiformes; Poeciliidae.